CUGAAACCGUGUACGUACAAGCAGUGGGAGCCUCUUAAUGGGGUGACUGCGUACCUUUUGUAUAAUGGGUCAGCGACUUAUAUUCUGUAGCAAGGUUAACCGAAUAGGGGAGCCGAAGGGAAACCGAGUCUUAACUGGGCGUUAAGUUGCAGGGUAUAGACCCGAAACCCGGUGAUCUAGCCAUGGGCAGGUUGAAGGUUGGGUAACACUAACUGGAGGACCGAACCGACUAAUGUUGAAAAAUUAGCGGAUGACUUGUGGCUGGGGGUGAAAGGCCAAUCAAACCGGGAGAUAGCUGGUUCUCCCCGAAAGCUAUUUAGGUAGCGCCUCGUGAAUUCAUCUCCGGGGGUAGAGCACUGUUUCGGCAAGGGGGUCAUCCCGACUUACCAACCCGAUGCAAACUGCGAAUACCGGAGAAUGUUAUCACGGGAGACACACGGCGGGUGCUAACGUCCGUCGUGAAGAGGGAAACAACCCAGACCGCCAGCUAAGGUCCCAAAGUCAUGGUUAAGUGGGAAACGAUGUGGGAAGGCCCAGACAGCCAGGAUGUUGGCUUAGAAGCAGCCAUCAUUUAAAGAAAGCGUAAUAGCUCACUGGUCGAGUCGGCCUGCGCGGAAGAUGUAACGGGGCUAAACCAUGCACCGAAGCUGCGGCAGCGACACUAUGUGUUGUUGGGUAGGGGAGCGUUCUGUAAGCCUGUGAAGGUGGCCUGUGAGGGUUGCUGGAGGUAUCAGAAGUGCGAAUGCUGACAUAAGUAACGAUAAAGCGGGUGAAAAGCCCGCUCGCCGGAAGACCAAGGGUUCCUGUCCAACGUUAAUCGGGGCAGGGUGAGUCGACCCCUAAGGCGAGGCCGAAAGGCGUAGUCGAUGGGAAACAGGUUAAUAUUCCUGUACUUGGUGUUACUGCGAAGGGGGGACGGAGAAGGCUAUGUUGGCCGGGCGACGGUUGUCCCGGUUUAAGCGUGUAGGCUGGUUUUCCAGGCAAAUCCGGAAAACCAAGGCUGAGGCGUGAUGACGAGGCACUACGGUGCUGAAGUGACAAAUGCCCUGCUUCCAGGAAAAGCCUCUAAGCAUCAGGUAACAUCAAAUCGUACCCCAAACCGACACAGGUGGUCAGGUAGAGAAUACCAAGGCGCUUGAGAGAACUCGGGUGAAGGAACUAGGCAAAAUGGUGCCGUAACUUCGGGAGAAGGCACGCUGAUAUGUAGGUGAAGCGACUUGCUCGUGGAGCUGAAAUCAGUCGAAGAUACCAGCUGGCUGCAACUGUUUAUUAAAAACACAGCACUGUGCAAACACGAAAGUGGACGUAUACGGUGUGACGCCUGCCCGGUGCCGGAAGGUUAAUUGAUGGGGUUAGCGGUAACGCGAAGCUCUUGAUCGAAGCCCCGGUAAACGGCGGCCGUAACUAUAACGGUCCUAAGGUAGCGAAAUUCCUUGUCGGGUAAGUUCCGACCUGCACGAAUGGCGUAAUGAUGGCCAGGCUGUCUCCACCCGAGACUCAGUGAAAUUGAACUCGCUGUGAAGAUGCAGUGUACCCGCGGCAAGACGGAAAGACCCCGUGAACCUUUACUAUAGCUUGACACUGAACAUUGAGCCUUGAUGUGUAGGAUAGGUGGGAGGCUUUGAAGUGUGGACGCCAGUCUGCAUGGAGCCGACCUUGAAAUACCACCCUUUAAUGUUUGAUGUUCUAACGUUGGCCCGUAAUCCGGGUUGCGGACAGUGUCUGGUGGGUAGUUUGACUGGGGCGGUCUCCUCCUAAAGAGUAACGGAGGAGCACGAAGGUUGGCUAAUCCUGGUCGGACAUCAGGAGGUUAGUGCAAUGGCAUAAGCCAGCUUGACUGCGAGCGUGACGGCGCGAGCAGGUGCGAAAGCAGGUCAUAGUGAUCCGGUGGUUCUGAAUGGAAGGGCCAUCGCUCAACGGAUAAAAGGUACUCCGGGGAUAACAGGCUGAUACCGCCCAAGAGUUCAUAUCGACGGCGGUGUUUGGCACCUCGAUGUCGGCUCAUCACAUCCUGGGGCUGAAGUAGGUCCCAAGGGUAUGGCUGUUCGCCAUUUAAAGUGGUACGCGAGCUGGGUUUAGAACGUCGUGAGACAGUUCGGUCCCUAUCUGCCGUGGGCGCUGGAGAACUGAGGGGGGCUGCUCCUAGUACGAGAGGACCGGAGUGGACGCAUCACUGGUGUUCGGGUUGUCAUGCCAAUGGCACUGCCCGGUAGCUAAAUGCGGAAGAGAUAAGUGCUGAAAGCAUCUAAGCACGAAACUUGCCCCGAGAUG
Molecule: ribosomal RNA, 2271 nt
Filed under: Escherichia coli
Lineage: Bacteria; Pseudomonadati; Pseudomonadota; Gammaproteobacteria; Enterobacterales; Enterobacteriaceae
Description: partial 23S ribosomal RNA
Rfam family: Bacterial large subunit ribosomal RNA
Source: RNAcentral